Molecule: ribosomal RNA, 466 nt
Filed under: uncultured bacterium
Lineage: Bacteria
Description: partial 16S ribosomal RNA
Rfam family: Bacterial small subunit ribosomal RNA
Source: RNAcentral
GACGAACGCUGGCGGCGCGCCUAACACAUGCAAGUCGAACGAGCGAGAGAGAGCUUGCUUUCUCGAGCGAGUGGCGAACGGGUGAGUAGCGCGUGAGGAACCUGCCUCAAAGAGGGGGACAACAGUUGGAAACGACUGCUAAUACCGCAUAAGCCCACGGGUCGGCAUCGACCAGAGGGAAAAGGAGCAAUCCGCUUUGAGAUGGCCUCGCGUCCGAUUAGCUAGUUGGUGAGGUAAUGGCCCACCAAGGCGACGAUCGGUAGCCGGACUGAGAGGUUGAACGGCCACAUUGGGACUGAGACACGGCCCAGACUCCUACGGGAGGCAGCAGUGGGGAAUAUUGCACAAUGGGGGAAACCCUGAUGCAGCGACGCCGCGUGGAGGAAGAAGGUCUUCGGAUUGUAAACUCCUGUUGUUGGGGAAGAUAAUGACGGUACCCAACAAGGAAGUGACGGCUAACUACGUG